UUAAAUCGUUCAAUUUAUUUACGAAUUGACGAAUUUACAUACCCGGUCGAUUUAUUAUGCAACAUAUUCGAUAAUUUCUGAAAACCAUCUCCUGUAUCUUAAAAAUUAGAAAAAUCGAAAAUUUGUACGAUCAGUUGGACAAUAGUGGUGUCGAGCUCAGUGAGCAGUUGCGAGUGAUAAUGAUGCUGCGCAGUUUGCCUCCAUCUUUCGCGAAUUUUGUUACUUCGUAAGAAAAUCGGCCCAAGGGCGAUUCAACGAUGGACUUAGUGCUGAUGGUACGAAGACAAAGUCGUGCGGUAUCGGUAAAGGAAACGUUAUCGGUGUGAAUGCGAAUGGCCAGCGCGUUGUGAUUACGUUGGAGCGGGUACUGUACGUCCCCAGUUUGGAGGGAGGACUGAUUUCGGCACGGAAAUUAGCUGAAAAAGAGUUCACGGUGGUGUUUAAUGUGAACGGUUGUGAAAUUCAAGAUCCUGGCAACAAGGUUGUAGCAGUCGGCGAGCUGAUUGAUUGCCAGUAUAAAUUGAAGAUACAUGGCACCGGCGGUUUGGUCAUCGUGACAUGAAUGCGAUGAAGUUCAUCACGUCAAAAAGAUUGGCCAGCGGAUUCAAAGUCAAGGACUGUGAUGAACAUAUAGUUUGUGAGUGCUGCAUUAAGGGUAAGUUAGCACGAAAACCUUUUUCUCCGUCGGGUGAACGCAGAUCGACACAGCCAUUGGACCUGGUGCACACAGACUUGUGCGGACCCAUGGAGAAUGCAACGCCGAGUGGAAACAAAUACUUUAUUACACUAAUCGACGACUACAGUCGGUUCUGUGCGGUGUUUCUGUUUACAUCGAAAAGCGAAAAGCGAGAAUACGUUAGAUGGACCGAGAACGUUUUCUGCCGUAAACCUAAGGUGAUUAGGUCUGAUGGAGGAGGCGAAUAUAUCGGUGAGUCUCUACAAGAAUUUUAUACAACCGAGGGCAUUGUUGCGCAAUACACCACAACAGAAUGGUGUCGCGGAGGGCAAGAAUCGCGCUUUGCAGGAAAUGGCCAACUGUAUGUUGUUGGAUGCAGAGCUACCCAAACGCUAUUGGGGUGAGGCCGUGAUUACGGCAAAUUAUGUUCAAAAUCGGUUGCCAUCAAGAGUGGUGUAUAAAACGCCUUAUGAGCUUUGGACCGUACUCUCCCGGAUUUGUCUGAGUUCAAAGUAAUUGGCUGCGUAGCUUAUGUGCACGUACCAGACCAAAAACGGAAGAAAUUCGACCCGAAAGCUAAGCAGCUAGUAUUUAUCGGCUACUCAAAUCAGCACAAAGGCUAUCGUUUUCUUGACCUCGCAACGAAUCGCAUCACUAUAAGCCGUGAUGCGCGCUUCCUGGAACUGGGGAAUGGAUCAGAACAGCUGGAGGGGGAGCCGGUUGUCUCGCAAGGUCCUGAAGAGCUAAGUGAGGAAAGAUUGAGUGAUUGCGAAGAAGUCGUUCUUUUGGACUGGGGUAUUAAAGAACGUGAAGAGCAAGUGCUUGAUGAUCAGUCUGAGUAUGACGACGCUAGCGAAAUUAAUGAAAGUGAUUUUCCGGGAUUUAAAUCGGAAUUUUUAGAAGAACAACCAGUGUUGACCCGAGCAGACCGGUACACCAGGGGAGUGCUGCCUGGGUGAUUCGAGCAUUAUGUAGUGGGGCAAGUGACAGUAGAUGAAAGCCCAAAGAAUAUGAAGAAGCAAUGUUAGUACCACGGUGCUCCCACAGAUUAUUAUUAUAAAACAGGCACCAAAGAAUCUAAGUACCCCAUUCGAUUCAUUAUGACGUCCAGAAUCUCUGGUCAAAAUUUCAAAAUCAUCAUACGGUACAUUUUUGAAUAUUGCCCUUUUGAAGGUCGUAAAGUACAAAAAAGUAAUAUAAAAACAACGAAAUACUUAUUGUAAAGCACGUAUUUCAACCACCAUUCUAUGAAAUAACUUCCAAAACAGUUUCUACAUAUUUCAAGGGUUAUAUUUCAAGACAUUAACAGUGUUAGAGUACUUGAACGGAACUAAGCACGUUAGGCUGAGUUACGGAUCGCAGGACGGGUGGAACCUGAUAGGAUUUUCAGAUUCGGAUUGGGCCGGCGACAGAUGUACUCGUCGUUCGACCACCGGUUUCAUAUUUUUUUAUGGCGAUAGUCCUGUAAGUUGGACAAGCAAGGGCCAGGAUUCGGUGUUGCGACGGCUAGGCGAACCGGAAAGUGUUCCGACAGUGCUGCACGAGGAUAAUAUGGGGUGUUUAAGUUUUGCCAAAACGGAGAGAUGCAGUGGUAGGGUAAAACAUAUAGAUACCAAACGACAUUUUAUCCGUGAGUUGUGCGACCGGAAGAUUAUACAUCUUGUGUAUAGUCCUAGUGAAGAAAUGGCCGCCGACGCUCUUACCAAGCCGGUCGGUCGGGCAAAGAUGAACAAGUUUUUGCUGAAGGAUUGAAGAAAUUAUUGAAACGGUUCUCAUCCAGGAGGAGUGUUGGGAAUGGAUGAGUACCUUGUCGUAUAUAUAGCCACCUUGACUAAAGAGAGAGAAAUAAACACAACAAGCUACACUAUUUUAUCACAUACAUAAGACAUACGUAACACUCAGGAAGAAAUCUUCCAAAAAAGUUGGUACAAAAUGAACUACUCGAAUGGUACCACACUAUGAAUAAAAUCACUGUUUGAGUUGUUUUUGAAGGCAGUGUACCUGCGCAGCCCUGCAUUUGUCUCGUUCCUACUCGAAAAAUGCUGCAUUGAUUUUGUGAAUAACUUUUUGACAGUUCCUUAUGAGAUUUUCUUUGGGGCUCGAUAAAGCCGAGAAAAAGUAAAUUCAUUUUGUUCAUUAUUUAUCGAGCAGUUUGACAGGAUGAGGUACGGAGUUCUAUGGGGCAACGUGUACCAGAAAAAAACGCCAGUGUUACGUAUGUCUUAUGUAUGUGGUUUUAUCCUUUCGAUCAGUUACACAAUAAAUCGGUUUCAUGUAAA
Long non-coding RNA from Wyeomyia smithii (pitcher-plant mosquito), 2955 nucleotides. RefSeq lists it as uncharacterized. The record is from RefSeq and is a predicted model, not a curated record. The transcript has 2 exons. NCBI's taxonomy places the organism in Eukaryota, Metazoa, Arthropoda, Insecta, Diptera, Culicidae.